Molecule: ribosomal RNA, 253 nt
Filed under: uncultured bacterium
Lineage: Bacteria
Description: partial 16S ribosomal RNA
Rfam family: Bacterial small subunit ribosomal RNA
Source: RNAcentral
UACGUAGGUGGCAAGCGUUGUCCGGAUUUACUGGGCGUAAAGGGCGUGCAGGCGGUUUGUUAAGUGCAGGGUGAAAGCUCCCGGCUCAACUGGGAGAGGUCCUUGCAUACUGGCGAACUCGAGGGAGGCAGAGGAAAGUGGAAUUCCCGGUGUAGUGGUGAUAUGCGUAGAUAUCGGGAGGAACACCGGUGGUGUAGACGGCUUUCUGGACCGUAACUGACGCUGAAACACGAAAGCGUGGGUAGCAAACAGG